RNAcentral lists this ribosomal RNA (561 nucleotides) under uncultured Glomus. RNAcentral's name for it is "SSU rRNA". It matches the Rfam family "Eukaryotic small subunit ribosomal RNA", at positions 548 to 1103 of the family's 1831-position model. The record is from RNAcentral. Lineage: Eukaryota; Fungi; Glomeromycota; Glomeromycetes; Glomerales; Glomeraceae.
UUGGAGGGCAAGUCUGGUGCCAGCAGCCGCGGUAAUUCCAGCUCCAAUAGCGUAUAUUAAAGUUGUUGCAGUUAAAAAGCUCGUAGUUGAAUUUCGGGAUUGACGUGAUGGUCAUGCCUUAAGGGGUAUGAACUGUUACUGUUGAUUUCUCACCUUCUGGAGAAACUUGAUGUCCUUUAUUGGGUGUCUUGCGGAUCCAGGACCUUUACCUUGAAAAAAUUAGAGUGUUUAAAGCAGGCAUUUUUGCUCGAAUACAUUAGCAUGGAAUAAUAGAAUAGGACGGCAUGGUUCUAUUUUGUUGGUUUCUAGGAUCACCGUAAUGAUUAAUAGGGAUAGUUGGGGGCAUUAGUAUUCAAUUGUCAGAGGUGAAAUUCUUGGAUUUAUUGAAGACUAACUACUGCGAAAGCAUUUGCCAAGGAUGUUUUCAUUAAUCAAGAACGGAAGUUAGGGGAUCGAAGACGAUCAGAUACCGUCGUAGUCUUAACCAUAAACUAUGCCGACUAGGAAUCAGACGAUGUUAAUUUUUUAAUGACUCGUUUGGCGCCUUAUGGGAAACCAAAG